Molecule: long non-coding RNA, 1048 nt
Filed under: Mus caroli (Ryukyu mouse)
Lineage: Eukaryota; Metazoa; Chordata; Mammalia; Rodentia; Muridae
Description: lncRNA (MGP_CAROLIEiJ_G0002759.1)
Source: RNAcentral
AGUCGGGUGAAGUACAGAGGGUAGAUGACAGCGGCCGUGGCACACAGCAGGGUUGCCAACAUGGCGAAGGCUGCUGUGAAGUUGCCCCAGGAAAGGCGUAGGCAGCUGUGAAGCUUUGUGAACUCACAGGCUACCACCAGGACUGAGAAGGCAAAGCAGAAGCCCCAAGCAGCCAUGCAGAAAGUGCCCUGGACACCCCCAAAACCACCUCGGUGAGCAACCAAACUGAAAGUGGUACAGCCAAAGGCCAGCUGCAGCAUUCGGGCUGUACCCACCGGCGAGGUCACAGCGCCUAAGUGCAGAACCUUCCCACUACUCUUUGGAAAGAGGGGCUGAGGAAACUAUUUGGUAGCCCCAAAAUAUAGAAAGGAAGCAUAUGGAUUUGUCUCUGAUGCCACUGCCAACGACCAACAGUUUUGGUGCUAAAUUCAGGACAAUUCCAGGACUGGUGUACAGUUCAGGAUAUCCCACCACUCCCCAAAUGCCUCAUCUGAACUGGCCACUCACAGCGCAGAGUCGGAUAUACUUUGUAGCCAAAGAAGCAAUUCCAUUCCUCUCCUUCCUUGAACUGGCGCUGGCAACGCUCUGGGACCAUCCCACUCCAGUACCUGCGGCACAAUCACAGGAACCAGCCUGAGUCAGCCAGGCCCCGCACCUGGAUAGAUGGGUAGCCCAACUCCUCCAGCAGCUCAGCCACGCGGUCUACAUUCAACAGCACCCCGGUGCCCCCAGCGCUGAGGGAAGGCCAGACGUGAGGCCAAGUGGCUGGGGAGGGUGCUUGCUGUCCACCCAGAGCUGGUUUAGCCCCAGCCUUAGUCCUGAGGAAGCACUGCUUCUGAACAAUGCAUUCUGACUAUAACCAUGUUGAGAGAGGCAAGCAAGACACAGGGACCUCUCUCCCUCACGGUCCAAGGGCAGAGGACUGGUAGAGUUCUAUUCUAAGCGUUGGCCCAUAGCUAAGGCUGACAGAGCACAGAGCUGACUCUCCUUUCCCUCUGUUUUCUCUCCUGUAUCAGUUUCCUUAUCUGAAGAAGAAGAUAAACUCCGG